UGCUUGUCCAAGACCAGUGGCCGAUGGUUGUCGGAAUUGCCUGCAAAGAAAAAUUUCUGACUGCCUUCGAACGGCUGGUUACAACUGUGCCGUUUGCAAAUCCAAGUGGAGGAGCUCACCAGAUAUCCCCAAAGGGGAGCACACUUAUUUGGAAGUGUUGGAUAGCUCUAACUCAAAGAAAAAGGAAGUUAGAGUGGUUAUUGAGUUGAAUUUUAGGGCCGAGUUUGAGAUGGCCAGAGCUAAUGAAGAAUACAAUCGAUUAACUAGUCGGUUGCCUGAUCUGUUUGUUGGUAAAGCUGAAAGGUUACAAGCCCUAAUUAAGAUAUUGUGUUCAUCAGCUAAGAAGUGCAUGAAAGAUAGAAAGAUGCACAUGGGACCAUGGAGAAAGCACAAAUACAUGCAAGCUAAGUGGUUCAGCACAUGCGAGAGGAUAGUGCCACCAAUUCAACCGGCGGGAUUUUCAGGACAACUGCCUAAGCCUAGGGUCUCCAUGCUAACCUUCGACUUGGUAGAGAAUUUACCGAUUUUGCAAUGUACAGCAGUUAAUUGAAGUUGUGUGAUCACUGUGACCAAAAACAAGUUCUGUCCCAAUUGUUUUUAAGUUUUGUUUGCCUGGGAGGCAUUUGAGUGGAUAUUCUAAAGAGGGUUGCAGUCAAAGUUUUUUAGAGUAGUAUUGGAAGAUUAAUUUAUCGUUUAAGGCUAUGGAUGUAAAUACAAUUUAUAUGAUUAGGGUCCUCCAGUGCCGAAUAACACCCUCCGAGAGGAGGUGAUACAUAAGUUAUGCUAGCUAAUAAAGAAAAAAGAUUGGGACCAUCUUUUUGGGAACCCCCACCACCCCAA
Camellia sinensis is the source of this 840-nucleotide non-coding RNA. The record is from RefSeq and is a predicted model, not a curated record. NCBI's taxonomy places the organism in Eukaryota, Viridiplantae, Streptophyta, Magnoliopsida, Ericales, Theaceae.